This is a long non-coding RNA of Pseudopipra pipra, 256 nucleotides long. RefSeq lists it as uncharacterized. The record is from RefSeq and is a predicted model, not a curated record. The transcript has 2 exons. NCBI's taxonomy places the organism in Eukaryota, Metazoa, Chordata, Aves, Passeriformes, Pipridae.
UGGCAAAGCCUUGUGGGGAAGUUCUCCUACAGCUUUCACACUUUGGUGCUUGUGUAUAAGCAUUCGCUGUCAGUCAUCGUAUUUUUUGUGUGCCUUAACUUCCUCAUAGUUCUAAGUAUCGUUCUGCAGUCCCAUCAGAGGUGUGAGGAUGAAACAGUGAAACCUAGUAGAAAUGUUUGUUAUCUAUGAGAUCUUAUGAAGAUCAGCAGGAGCCUGAUACCUCUCCAAAAUUUUUAUGGAUAAAAAUCCGUAAGAC